This 72-nucleotide transfer RNA is filed under the name Ameiurus melas (black bullhead). It matches the Rfam family "tRNA". From Rfam's summary of the family: Transfer RNA (tRNA) molecules are approximately 80 nucleotides in length. Their secondary structure includes four short double-helical elements and three loops (D, anti-codon, and T loops). Lineage: Eukaryota; Metazoa; Chordata; Actinopteri; Siluriformes; Ictaluridae. The record is from Rfam by way of RNAcentral.
GCAUUGGUGGUAUAGUGGUGAGCAUAGCUGCCUUUCCGGCAGUUGACCCGGGUUCGAUUCCCGGCCAAUGCA